This 92-nucleotide microRNA precursor is filed under the name Trifolium pratense (red clover). The record is from RNAcentral. Lineage: Eukaryota; Viridiplantae; Streptophyta; Magnoliopsida; Fabales; Fabaceae.
AAAGUGGAGUGCAGCCAAGGAUGACUUGCCGGAAAUAUAUUUAUGUCAUGCUCAUAUGCCGGCAAGUUGUUCUUGGCUACAUUUUACUUUUU